CCGCCCCCGCAGAUUAAAUGGGCCGGCGGGGCUCAGCCCCCGGAAACGGCCGUACACUUCGGGGCUGCGAGCGCGGAGGGCGGCGGCGACGAAGCGCAGACAGCGUCAUGGCAGAGCAGGUGGCCCUGAGCCGGACCCAGGUGUGCGGGAUCCUGCGGGAAGAGCUGUUCCAGGGCGAUGCCUUCCAUCAGUCGGAUACACACAUAUUCAUCAUCAUGGGUGCAUCGCAGGCAGGAGGAGCCCCUUGGGUGGUUACAAAUUUGCGGCCACAUCCGGGAUCUCCUACUUGUGAUUCCUCAGCCCGCCCACCACCUUGAUGGACCUGGAGGUGAGCUCUGGUGACUGCUUAUUUAACUGAAGGCCAUUUCUGGCACUGUCCCUGCUUGUGAGGUGCGGCCAACCACCUCACAGCUUGGGCCCGAUUGCAGUGUAGAAACAGUUCCCGGAAAGCCGUCUUUCAACCGCUCUGGUGGGAAUUCUAGGCGCGACCAACACCUCCUUCCUUAUCCUGGUUAGUUCAGCUUCUUUGGAUGCCUCAGUUCGACUCCUUCUGGGAUCUGGGUUGUCUCUCCCUAAAUAGUAGGAAGAGUCUUCAUUUGGGAGAUUUCUCCUCAAUUGGGGACAUUUCUCAGAUGGAGAAUAGGAGGUUAGUUUGGAAGAAUACUCUUAAAAAUUCUUGGUCAGGAAUAUUGGUUUGGAAUCUUGGUCCAUCUCGUCUCUUUUGUGUGUGUGUUUUGUACAUGUGGAGGGGAUCUCUCAAGGAACUGCUGAUGGAAGUUCCACAGGCCUAACUCGGAGAACCUUCCUUAUUUGUCUGGUCACAUUCGUUGAGCACUGAAGGAACUGUUAGUGGAAGCUCAACAGGAACAGGCCUGUCUCAGGGUGACCGUCUGCUCUUCAUCUUGCCCUGAGACCACCCAUCGAAUUUCCGGUUGGAGGUCAUCCCUCCCCACCUCCAAUGGAUCAAAGACAAUGGGGACCAAUGGGGGCAAGUUCGAACCUUGCCAGAUUGGAUUGCCAGAUUGGAUUGCCAGAUUGAUAUUGGGUGCUGACCAGGGUGACCAGCGUCGUUUUUGUUACAUAUAUUUUGCUUCGGCUGGGAUGGAAAAUGUUAAAAUUUUUUUUUUCAUCUGUUGCGCCUCUGGAUUUUCCACCUUUGUCCUCGGGUUGAGGGAAAGAUGCUGGGAUCAGGUAGUCAAGUAGUACAAGUUGUAAUUGAAGACAAUUUAGAAAUGGAAGAAGGCGAAAGUCAGUUGAGUCCUUCCUCAGCAUUAACUACUGACAGCAUUUUGGAAUAGUUUUAUAGUUUUCUAAUUGUAUUAGACGUUAACUUUAUAGCAAACACAUAAAGUAUAAGGUUUUGCAAGUUAAACGUCCGUUUUUCCUGAAAUUUCUUCCUGCGACAUAUGACUUCCACCUCUUUCUUAAAAACUUCAAAAUAGGCGGGCGCGGUGGCGCAAGCCUGUAAUCCCAGCACUUUGGGAGGCCGAGACGGGCGGAUCACGGGUCAGGAGAUGGAGACCAUCCUGGCUAACACGGUGAAACCCCGUCUCUACUAAAAAAUACCAAAAACUAGCUGGGCGAGGUGGCGGGCGCCUGUAGUCCCAGCUACACGGGAGGCUGAGGCAGGAGAAUGGGGUAAACCUGGGAGGCGGAGCUUGCAGUGAGCUGAGAUGCGGCCACCGCACUCCAGCCCGGGCGACAGAGCGAGACUCCGUCUCAAAAAAAAGAAAACAAACAAACUUCAAAAACAUGUUAUUGGAGGGCUGCAUGAAAGAUCCAUUACAAUGGAGUUGUUGAGCAUUUAAAUUGCUCUCAGUUUUCCACCUGUUGUAGAUAAGGAUUCAAAGAGAUUCUUGUCUAAAAGUCUCAACAGGAAUGGUUGUUUCUUUAACGCGGAUUCCAAGAGAUAGAAGUACUUUCCAUUACAUUUCUAUUUAUGCAUUUAAGGCUCGGGAUGUACACAGAAUGCUGGUUUCAAAGUAUUAAUUUUUGUUCCCCCAUGCAGCUUUUUGGGAGGCAUCUUGCAAAAUUGAGAGUUUUUUUGCCUGUGGUUCCAUGAAAUGGAAAAAGGUGGUUUUCCUUUGUGAUAUGACUUGGCCCCCACUGCUGUGAUGUGGCGAGCAGGGUUGCCAGGGCUGCUCAGAGAAAGGGAACCCAGACACCUGGCAUGCCGGCAAAAGGGUAAGAAGUCAGACUUCUGGCCUCUCUCUCUCUCUGUGCAAACUGGUGAAGUGAAUGAAAAGGAACUCAGACACAGAACAGUAGCUCAGUUUUAUUUUCAGCAGUAACAUUGCAGCACCAAUCCAAACACGUGGGGAGAGAGCAGUGAGGGGCCAGUCCAGGCACACAAUUCGCCUCACCCCUCAAAAGCACAAAGUGGCAACUGCUGUUAAGGAAUCAUUUCCCUAGGGAAGGAUGCACUGCCCAGGACCGACACAGGUUUAGGCCUCAACCCCCUUUUCCGGGCUGACGCUUAGCCAAAUUUGGUGGCACCAAGCGCUGCAUGGUCCGUAUCACCAUGGAAAGCUGGUUGAGCAAGAAGAUGACGGAAAGUUGGAGGAGACCAGAGUUGUUCGAAAUUAAUCGGCUAAAAGUGAGAGGAAAGAAAAGAAUUUUAUUAGAGAGGUGGCCUCCUGUUCCUCCCCCCACCCCCACGUCAUUAGACUUAAUCCUCAGGCGCCUCGCAUAGAGUGCCGACAUC
Molecule: long non-coding RNA, 2704 nt
Filed under: Macaca nemestrina (pig-tailed macaque)
Lineage: Eukaryota; Metazoa; Chordata; Mammalia; Primates; Cercopithecidae
Description: lncRNA (ENSMNEG00000045709.1)
Source: RNAcentral